CGUUAUAUGUAGCGUUAAUGCAAAGCUUAAUAGAUUUUAUUUAGGCAGUAUUUAGGCAGAUCAUACCUGUACGAGGAUUCCACACUGCAGAUUAGCAAAAAGCCCAUCGGCUGUUGAUAGACUAGGGAAAAGGCGUAGUCUAUAAAGGCGUCUAUUGGUUUGUGAGAACAUAUCACGUUUGAAGACGAUUGAAGAAGGUGUGGGUGCCUAUUGGAGAAACGGAAAAUUUGACCGCAAUUGGCUGGCCAAGAGACAACGAUCACCAACGUCAUCAACACUAACCCGAAUUUGACGCGAGCGACGAGUCUACAAUGGGGCUUGUUAACGGAGCUUCGAGAGGAUGGAGCGUUUGCUAAGUGGAAAGGGUCAUUUUCCUUCACGUUCGACACAAAGCAAUGUGCCCUUGGCCCUUCACAAGUCGCCUCAAACGUGUCCGUAUUAGGGAUUUUUUGAAAGAGAAGCCCUGAUUUGAGGCUCCAUCGGCCGGACGUCUUUUUCGGACUCUCGUCAAGAAGCCAUUUGUGACAGAUGGUAUUCAAUCAUUGGAAUUCUCAGUGUUUGAAAUAUUUAGUAAACACUUCUGUGAAUGGAUUCCUUGGCGGCAAAAAUCGAUCGCACAUGCGAGUAUCACAUAGAGAAGACAUCGGUCCUGCAGGCGAAGAAAUUAUCUUCAUUUCAAGUGACGACGAAGUGGCGACUGGACAUUCGACCGAGAUGGCGUUUAAUUGAUCUGGGAACAGACUGCAUGAAUACAAUAGAUUUCAUGUAUCCCUGAACGUCAAACUUGUACGCCCAAAAUCUAGGAGCGAAUACCUAUGCUUCUACGUUAUGCCAAGAUCAGUGAGUCACCUCCGUCAAUAAUUACGUGUAACUAUAUCGUUUUGGCAGCUGCUCUAGUGGUGGCAGAGCAAAGCGUCUAGCUUUAGGUUAUUUAGAUUCGAGAUAGGUCACCCUCUCAUGGGUGUUACAGCCAGACGGCAGCUCGUCGCCAAGCGAGCCAUUGCCGCCUUAGUCAGCCGUCGUAACUUCGCUACGGUUGCUUCCAUGUCGUAGUAAUUGUAUUUAGAAGUAGGAGUGCCGGCCGCAGUAGCAUUGUUGGUCAUGAUCAUAUGGCCUUUAGACAUCGUUGACGUAGCGGCAGUCGUCAUGAAGAUGGUUUUAUUAUAAACUUUUCCUACGUCCCGACGCUCUAUUGGUGGGUGCGUUGCGACACCGGCGUGAGUUAACUAGGUGGCUACUUCGAAGCUAUAUGUAUACAAGAAGUAGCAGAGUAGGCAAGCAAGGGCCUUCUUCACCAUCCGAUUUUAUUGCAUAGAUGGCCUGAACACAGCCCGACGGUGGGAAGUGGCAGUGGUAGAAAAGCAAACUGUAAAAACACGUUUACCGACUGAACUCGCCAAAUGCGUUUAUCCAAGAACUAAACGAUAGUUUACUACAAGAGUUUUACAAUACGCGUGUCACAUAUAAUAUAGUAAACGAUCAACUAUAUCUGUUGCUUUUUUUGUCAUCGUUCUAUAUGAGAAAUCCUUAACGGAACUUAUAGGCAACACGAUAGUGGAGUAAAUUAUUCCAAUUAAAUUGUUUGUCGGAGAACAAUUAUUUAUUAUUAUUAUUAUUAAUAGUAGAUAUUAUAUAGCGUUUGGUUUGAAUUUAUGUGAAUAUUAC
RNAcentral lists this long non-coding RNA (1665 nucleotides) under Varroa destructor (honeybee mite). RNAcentral's name for it is "uncharacterized LOC111253435, transcript variant X1". Lineage: Eukaryota; Metazoa; Arthropoda; Arachnida; Mesostigmata; Varroidae. The record is from RNAcentral.